CUCCCUGACCAGCAUGACCAUGAGUAACAGCGGAUGCAGAGGACAAGCUCGAGGAUGGCGAUUCAGAGGAGCAGGGAGAUACAAGAAGAAAUAAUGCAAGAUGAGUCAUUUUGUUCAUUACGAUAAAUCUACGAAGUGGAAGAAAAUGAGCAUGCCACUAAUAUUUCGAUCUUUUGAGGGCCAAGAUCUCAAGCAUGAAGUUCAUUUACUAUAAAGCUGGGCUAGGUUUCCCCACUUAUUGCCGCAACUUCACAUUGGACAUCACAAGGAUGGGUGAAGCCACGAAUCCUGAUUGAAGACCGGAAGAUGAUGAUGAUAACAAGAGCUCGAUGGAGGUGUGCAGUCCUAUUGAAGAUGGCCAAGUUCAGAUCCAAAGGCGAUGUAUUCCAUCCAGUGCCUGUGGCCGGGGAUCGCAUCCAGCCUGUGCGAUCUGUGUGGAGAACGCACCCUGUGGCCAACAAAAUCCUCUUAUAUAGGCAAUGGAAAAAGGCGGGAGGUGAGUCGCAGAAAGAAAAAUUGGCGCCAAUGUGGUUGUUCAGGAAAGGGCGGAGGCGGAGAUGGACAGUUGCGAUCUGUAUUUGUUAACCGCGUUUGUGGAAAAACGACUAAUACUCGUUUUCCCACAAACCUGGAAUUCUGGGCCUUUGUGAAACGAGUUUCCUAUAUGCAUGGGUUAGUUGGAGGAGCCAAA
Triticum aestivum (bread wheat) is the source of this 691-nucleotide long non-coding RNA. RefSeq lists it as uncharacterized. Lineage: Eukaryota; Viridiplantae; Streptophyta; Magnoliopsida; Poales; Poaceae. The transcript has 4 exons. The record is from RefSeq and is a predicted model, not a curated record.